Molecule: ribosomal RNA, 747 nt
Filed under: uncultured bacterium
Lineage: Bacteria
Description: bacterial SSU rRNA
Rfam family: Bacterial small subunit ribosomal RNA
Source: RNAcentral
GGUUUUCGGACCUAGAGACCGGCGCACGGGUGCGUAACGCGUAUGCAAUCUACCUUUUACAGAGGGAUAGCCCAGAGAAAUUUGGAUUAAUACCUCAUAGUAUUAUUGAAUGGCAUCAUUUAAUAAUUAAAGUCACAACGGUAAAAGAUGAGCAUGCGUCCCAUUAGCUAGUUGGUAAGGUAACGGCUUACCAAGGCAACGAUGGGUAGGGGUCCUGAGAGGGAGAUCCCCCACACUGGUACUGAGACACGGACCAGACUCCUACGGGAGGCAGCAGUGAGGAAUAUUGGUCAAUGGGCGCAAGCCUGAACCAGCCAUGCCGCGUGCAGGAUGAAGCAUCUAUGGUGUGUAAACUGCUUUUGUACGAGAAGAAACACUCCUACGUGUAGGAGCUUGACGGUAUCGUAAGAAUAAGGACCGGCUAACUCCGUGCCAGCAGCCGCGGUAAUACGGAGGGUCCAAGCGUUAUCCGGAAUCAUUGGGUUUAAAGGGUUCGUAGGCGGUUUUGUAAGUCAGUGGUGAAAGCCCAUCGCUCAACGGUGGAACGGCCAUUGAUACUGCAAGACUUGAAUUAUUGGGAAGUAACUAGAAUAUGUAGUGUAGCGGUGAAAUGCUUAGAGAUUACAUGGAAUACCAAUUGCGAAGGCAGGUUACUACCAAUAUAUUGACGCUGAUGGACGAAAGCGUGGGGAGCGAACAGGAUUAGAUACCCUGGUAGUCCACGCCGUAAACGAUGGAUACUAGCUG